UGGGGAAUAUUGCACAAUGGGCGAAAGCCUGAUGCAGCGACGCCGCGUGAGGGAUGAAGGCCUUCGGGUUGUAAACCUCUUUCAGCAGGGAAGAAGCGCAAGUGACGGUACCUGCAGAAGAAGCGCCGGCUAACUACGUGCCAGCAGCCGCGGUAAUACGUAGGGCGCAAGCGUUGUCCGGAAUUAUUGGGCGUAAAGAGCUCGUAGUCGGUUUGUCGCGUCUGGUGUGCAAACUCGAGGCUCAACCUCGAGCUUGCAUCGGGUACGGGCAGACUAGAGUGCGGUAGGGGAGACUGAAAUUCCUGGUGUAGCGGUGGAAUGCGCAGUUAUCAGGAGGCACACCGAUGGCGAAGGCAGGUCUCUGGGCCGCAACUGACGCUGAGGAGCGAAAGCAUGGGGAGCGAACA
This 407-nucleotide ribosomal RNA is filed under the name uncultured Cellulosimicrobium sp. Its description in RNAcentral is "bacterial SSU rRNA". It matches the Rfam family "Bacterial small subunit ribosomal RNA", at positions 355 to 774 of the family's 1533-position model. Lineage: Bacteria; Bacillati; Actinomycetota; Actinomycetes; Micrococcales; Promicromonosporaceae. The record is from RNAcentral.